CCCGCCGAAUUCGUGUGAGGCGGGCAGUUAGAUCGUAGGCUCGGUAGAGGCGUCGGAGUUCUGCUGCGGACCGGUUGCAACUGGGGUGGGUACCUACCUAUAAGACUGGAAUAACUCCGGGAAACCGGGGCUAAUGCGGGAUAAUAUUUAGAACCGCAUGUUUCUAAAGUGAAAGAUGGUUUUGCUAUCACUUAUAGAUGGACCCGCGCCGUAUUAGCUAGUUGGGGGGGUAAUGGCUUACCAAGGCAACGAUACGUAGCCGACCUGAGAGGGUGAUCGGCCACACUGGAACUGAGACACGGUCCAGAUUCCUACGGGAGGCAGCAGUAGGGAAUCUUCCGCAAUGGGCGAAAGCUUACCGGAGCAACCCCGCGGGAGUGAUGAAGGUCUUCGAAUGGUAAAACUUUGUUAUUAGGGAAGAACAAAUGUGUAAGUAAUUGUGACGUCUUGACGGGACUUAAUCAAAAAGCCACGGCUAACUACGGGCCAGCGCCGCGGUAAUACGGUAGGGGGAAGCGUUUUCCCGGAUUUUUGGGCGGAAAGCGCCGCCGAGGGGUUUUUCUUAGUCCUGUGUGGAAACCCACGGGUUCACCGGGGGGGGUCUUUUGGAACUGGAAAAACUGAGUCCCAGAGAGGGAAAGGGGAUUCCUGGUUGUAUAGGGGAAUCGGGAGAGGAUAUGGGGAACCCCCAGGGGGGAGGCAAAUUUCUGUUGAAUGACUGAGGCAAGGGGGAAUCAACGGUGGGGUUAGUCCCGGAUGCCACCCUAACAAGGUCUAGUUUAGGGUUUCGCUUUAGUCUGCUAAGGGGCUUAAGCUCCCUUAGGCUGGGGUAGACGCAGUGAAGACUAAGAAUGCGGGACCAUCAGGGGAGCUGGGUAAUCGAAAGGAAUUACGGAAACUACGCAUGAGCUUGGAAUAAUAGAGUCUUCUUUCGGAAAAAAAGGAACAGCCUUAUCUCUCCUAAUUGUCCUCGACAGCACUUGGUAUGCAAUAGUGGCUAAUCCGCGGCAACGGUAAGAGAUGCAACUUGCCCCUAUUCAGCUCGU
This 1046-nucleotide ribosomal RNA is filed under the name Staphylococcus sp. KALAICIBA8. Its description in RNAcentral is "bacterial SSU rRNA". It matches the Rfam family "Bacterial small subunit ribosomal RNA", at positions 43 to 1063 of the family's 1533-position model. Lineage: Bacteria; Bacillati; Bacillota; Bacilli; Caryophanales; Staphylococcaceae. The record is from RNAcentral.